RNAcentral lists this ribosomal RNA (660 nucleotides) under Triticum aestivum (bread wheat). RNAcentral describes it as "partial small subunit ribosomal RNA". The record is from RNAcentral. Lineage: Eukaryota; Viridiplantae; Streptophyta; Magnoliopsida; Poales; Poaceae.
GAGAUCUUUCUCCAGGGCAGAACCCUCCUGAGGGCGAUCGGUAAGGGGGGCCAGCUGGCCGCCCUGAUCCCAAGUUCAGAGAAUGCGCAGGCUCUGCACUUUCUCCGUCAUCACCUGUCACCUACUCUAAAAGAUGAGUAUAUGGCUGAGCGCAGUGCUUCUGGCCUUUGGACCGCUCUUAAGCAGCGGUUUGAGAGGUUGAAGUACACUGUGAAGCCACGUGCAGAGGCAGAGUGGAUCCGUCUGAGCCAGAAGAUUGAGAAAACCCUAUCCACCUUCCACCCCGACGCGGUCCAGUCCUCAUGGAACUACCGCCAGGGGAACUACACGAGGUAUUCAGAGUUGAUUGACGUCCUCCAGGUAGCGGAGGCGCAGGACGAGGUUCUCAAAAAGAACUUUGUCGCGCAACCACUUGGGGAGGUGAACGCUCUCAAAGUUCGCAAGCCUCAACAGAAGAAGAGGGGCCCUAAGCAGUACAAUCCGGGCAAGGGAGGGCAGAGGCCUCAGGACUGCUUCCGUUGUGGCUCGGUGGAGCAUUUCUCCCGCCAGUGCCGCGCACCACAGGAGGUCGUUGAUGCAUAUAAGGCUCAGAGGCGCGUGAAACACACCUCGCCUUGGUUCAGGAGGGAGCACCACCGGCGCUCGUGGCGGCACUUGUGA